CAAGUCGAACGCGAAAGCCCCUUCGGGGGCAAGUAGAGUGGCGCACGGGUGAGUAACACGUAGGUAAUCUACCUUUGGAUUGGGAAUAACCACCGGAAACGGUGGCUAAUACCGAAUAAUGCAGCGGCACCUAAUGGUGACAGUUGUUAAAGCGGGGGAUCGCAAGACCUCGCGUCUGAAGAGGAGCCUGCGGCAGAUUAGCUAGUUGGUAAGGUAACGGCUUACCAAGGCGAUGAUCUGUAGCCGGCCUGAGAGGGCGGUCGGCCACACUGACACUGACAUACGGGUCAGACUCCUACGGGAGGCAGCAGUCGGGAAUUUUGGGCAAUGGGCGAAAGCCUGACCCAGCAACGCCGCGUGAAGGAUGAAAUCCCUCGGGAUGUAAACUUCGCAAGAACGGGAAGAAUAAACCGGUGCAAAUACCACCGGUGAUGACGGUACUGUUUGUAAGCUCCGGCUAACUCCGUGCCAGCAGCCGCGGUAAUACGGGGGGAGCAAGCGUUGUUCGGAUUUACUGGGCGUAAAGGGCGCGUAGGCGGCACCGCAAGUCGACUGUGAAAUCUCCGGGCUUAACCCGGAAAGGUCAGCCGAUACUGCGGGGCUAGAGUGCAGAAGGGGCAACUGGAAUUCUCGGUGCAGCGGUGAAAUGCGUAGAUAUCGAGAGGAACACCUGCGGCGAAGGCGGGUUGCUGGGCUGACACUGACGCUGAUGCGCGAAAGCUAGGGGAGCGAACGGGAUUAGAUACCCCGGUAGUCCUAGCCUUAAACGAUGAAUGCUUGGUGUCUGGGGUUUUAUAGUCCCCGGGUGCCGUCGCUAACGCUUUAAGCAUUCCGCCUGGGGAGUACGGUCGCAAGACUGAAACUCAAAGGAAUUGACGGGGACCCGCACAAGCGGUGGA
This 899-nucleotide ribosomal RNA is filed under the name uncultured Bacillota bacterium. Its description in RNAcentral is "bacterial SSU rRNA". It matches the Rfam family "Bacterial small subunit ribosomal RNA", at positions 58 to 936 of the family's 1533-position model. Lineage: Bacteria; Bacillati; Bacillota. The record is from RNAcentral.